UUUGGAUCGUUCCUAACUAUGUCUCUGCCUAACCCAAAACUCCAAAUCGCGACCCGUCUCCGCCCUCUCCAUUGUGCCUUGUAGAUCUAUACCUUGUCGCCACCUUGUCUCUUUGUCAUGCCCUGUCGCUACCUUGUCACUGGUCUCGAAAUUGAGGCUCUCUUCUCUCAAAUUGGAGAAGUCUAUUCUCAAAUUAAAACUCUCUGCUCUCAAAUUUCCGUAGGUAUGUUAUACCGUAAAUUUCUGUAAUAGAUUGUUAUAGAAACUUUGCUCUAUUUCUCUCAAAUUGAAGCAUCCAAAUAAUUUCUCUUAUUUUCUCAAUUUGGAACCCUAAUUUCUUCUUUGUUAUUUUCCGCUUUGUUGCUCAUCACAGGAAUAGCCUUAUCUCGCUCUGUAGUCAAAUUUGUUGAAAAUGUACUAAUUAUAUGCCCUACUUUUCUGUUUUCCUUAAUAAUUUCUACUAUUUUUAUACUUCACCUGCUCCUAAUUUUCUGUUGUUAAUUGCGUAUGCUUUUGUGUCUUCAUAAUUGCUGCUAACCAGGUAUAUUCAUUCAUAUUCGUUACUAUUUCCACAAUAAUAGUAUUUAUAUGUUUUGUUAGUUGUUGACCUGAAUUCCAUAGAUAAACUUGUUAUUUAGUUGCUGACUUACUUCUUCAUUUUUAGAUAGUGCUUAAUUUUCUUUCCUUGAAAUUUUCUUGUAAAAACUUUGCAUCAGGGGUCAGGGCAUCCCUGUCUAUCAACUCAAAUUUGUUAGUAUAUGUCACUAACAAAUGUUUAGUCUUUUCCAGUAACAUGAAUCUUCAUCUAGUAAGUAUAUAUGCGAUAAAGUGACUAGACCAUGUCUUUUAAGUAUUUUCUGCAAUAUUCUACUUGACCGGUCAUAAUGGUAGUUUAUAAUCUUCCACCUUCUAUGUGUAUGAAUGAUCUUUUCAUGUUUAUGACAUUACUAAUUGCAAGAGAAAAGAUUCAUGGAAAUGACAUAAAUGUAUAUUUGAGACCAUUUGUACUAUCAGUACUGCUUAUGUUGUUUGGUUCUAACCCCCUACCCCAGUUGUUGGAUUUUUGUGCUAGAAUGUAUCUAAACAUGUGUAGGAGCUUUUUAUUAUAAUUAUCUCUACAGAAGAGUGUCUUUUGAACGAUCAAAAUAGUUGCAUCAUGUUCAGUGUUUUCUAAAAGUUUUCUCAUGUUCUAUUUUUUAUAUAUUUUUUUGUUAGACUGUUAGAUAGCUCCCUAUGUAAAGCGUGGUGGUAGACGAGGGGGUGGUCAGGGCAGUGGACGAGGGAAUGGAAGAGAUGAUGGACGAGAGGAUGCACAUACUGAUGAUGGAAGAGAUGAAGCUCUUACUUGAUGGGGACGAGAGUUUUGGGACAAAGGGUUAAUAUCACACAGAUAAUUCUCACGCAAAACUCAAUCAAUUCAUCAUUCGAUGUCUCCAAAUAAUGAAGUGCAUCACUAUUUAUAAUACUCCUAAACAACUUUCCUAACCUAAAUUAGACUCUAAUACGAUAACUACAAAUUAAAUAAAUUAAUUAAAAUACAACUUAUUAUUCAUAUAGGCUUCUAAAGCCUUUUAUAUUGUUCUAACCAAUUUUUACGGAUUCAUCCUACAUCAUUUCUCCUCCACUGAAAAUAACUUGACUCCGUUGAGUUAUCAGCACAAGAAUAAUCACGUCGCAUCACCAAGGUAGUCUUUGCAAGCUUCAAAUUUGACAUGUCGAGAGCGCAAGUAAGAGUGAAUUUGGUAUUGGCUUUGAUAAUCGAAUAGAUAUUAGCACAAGCAUCAUCUGGCGCGUGACGAUCCCAUAGCCAUUUAUGCCCUAAGAUAAUGUGACAAACCUUAAGGGGUAGAACAUCACACAUAACGGUAUCUGUAAGCUUGCCAACAAAAAAUGUAACCAAACACCGCUGGGUAACCCAUAACUUUAUAUUGGUAACCCACGCAAUAUCAUACGGCUCUGGUUGAGGCUCAACUUUUAACCCAAGUUUCUUAAUUGCUUCCUCAAAGAUAACAUCCGUAAAACUCCCAGUAUCAAUUACAAGAGAGCACACAUGUCCCGCACAUAUGACCUUCGUUUGAAAAAUUUGUCCACGAUGGAUUUUAAGAUCAUCCUUAUGUUUCUGGACAACAAGUAAAGGUCGAAGAACACCUAAACAUCCUUUCAAAUGAGCAUCAACUUCUAAAUCUUGUUUAUCGGGCUCAUAUUCGUCGUCUAUCAGCUUGCAAACCUCUUCGUUUAAGUCAGCUUUUUCACACGCUUUGUCAACAAUAGCAAGUUGCCUAGAGGGGGAAGAUAAAACAUUCUUCUUUUGGGAAGGACACUCAAAAGACAUGUGACCAAAAUCACGAUAGUUAUAGCACCUAGACGAAUUGUUGUUGCUAGCAUUAGAAGAACAUGUGGUAUGAUUAGGCCUGUUAGUAGCUGAAAGGUUUGUUGAGAAUCUUUAUAUUGGCCUAUUUAAAACAGGCUCCACAAACGUACGCUCUCUCCGAGUUUGGACUUAUAUUGGAGGCCUAACAUAAUUUCUUUUUCAAAUUAUCCUCUAUUUGGGUAGCAACUUGAACAACGUCAUUCAAGAGUAAUAGUUUUCCUGUAGCUAGCUACACCACCUGCAAUCUCUAGAUUCAAUCAUCGACGGUACAUGGAGAUUAAAACUUCUUCAACCCAAGGAAAUUUAGACUGUGUAACCAAAUUAUAAAACGUUGAAGUAUACUCGGCUACAAAUUUACUUUCUUAUACCAACUUAGUUAACUGUAAAUAUACUCGCUGCCUAUAAUCCGAAGGUACAAAACGUCGUGUUAAUGCAGUUUUCAUAUCUUCCCAUCUUCUUGUAGCUGUAUACAAAUUUCGUUGAUGUUAAUCUCACCAAAUCCGAGUCGUUCCUUUCAACUUCGCUUCAGCAAAGAAGAGUUUCCUUUCAUCGAAUAAUUCAUACCAACGAAAGAAGCUCUCCAAACUAUGAUUCCAAUCGAAGAAUGUUUCGGGACCAUUAUCGCCAUUGAAAUCUUCAACAUCUAAUUUAGCUCCUCUAUCCAUCACAUUCAUCCUAGGAUAUGAUCUGGAACAUUAACUCGUGGAUUAGGGUCAUGCUACUGCAGUCUCAGAUGAUUAAGAUUCGGGAUGUGGUUUUCCAAAUUUUUAUGCUGAUCAUCUUCUUGUCCCUUAUCUACGCGUUCUGUAAGUACAUCAACCUUUACUGUAAGUGUUGUAAUAGAAGCAUCAACAUUUGCAGCAAGUGUUGUGAUUGAAUCUUCAAUCCUUUUGAAACACUCAUCUUGUUGUAACACAUAAGCAUCAAGCUUGGUGUUAAUUUCUCCAGCAUUGACCAUGGUUCUUGUGAAUAAAAAUAUAUAUUUUUUUUUUGUUGCUUUAGGGACUUAUGUGCAGAAAAUAUAAAGAAAAAGGGUUGAACUGAAAUUAAUGAAACUUCAUGGGCUAAAAUGAAACUUCAAGGACUGAUAUGUAAAAUUUCAAGGGUUAUUUUGAAAUUUAAGAUAACUUGGGGGACUAAACUAGAAAAUUAUAAAAACUAUGAGGUACCUAAUUGUAAUUUUCAAUGAGAUAUUUUUUCCCUCUACACGGAUCUGUUUCUCGACUUCACGUUUUAUUUUCUACUUCGAGGAAGAAGAGCAGUAAGCUUGAGGAGCUAACGACUUAAACCUUGACAAAAAAAAAUAAGGGUGGUGGUGGCCGGACGCAGCGGCGGUCAGGGUGGUUCUCCUUCCUACUUCUCUUUUUGUUUUUCUUUUUCACGUCUGUGAUGGUUGCGAUUUAGGGCUUCGACUUGGGCUGUGUUUGGCUAGAUGUUUUGCUUAAAUUUGGGUUAUGGUCGAUAUUUGUAUAGUGUACUAGGGUUAAUUUUGGCUGUGUUUGGACGAGGUUUGGUGCGACAGAUGUUUUCGUAAUGACAUUAAAGGUUGGGCAGCGAGCAUAAUUUUUUUCCCAGAUAGCGGCUUGUUGUGGGGUUGUAACUGGGCAAUAGUUUUGUAACUGCUAGAGGUGUAAUUAGUCCGAGUGUAACGGCUAGAGUUUGUUUAUAUUGGGUAGUUUAUGAUUUAAGGUGAUGUCACUGAUUUUCGGUCGACUGAGGAUGCAUCAACGGAUAAUUCUCACGUAAAACUCAAUCGAUUCAUCAUUCGAUGUCUCCAAAUAAUGAAGUACAAUCACUAUUUAUAAUACUCCUAAAUUGGACUCUAAUACGAUAAACUACAAAUUAAAGAAAUUAAUUAAAAUAUAACUUCUUAUUUAUAUAGGCUUCCAAAGCCUUUUAUAUUAUCCUAACCAACUUUUACGGAUUCGUUCUACAUUAUUACUACUUUUGGGAAUGGAAAUUUGCAUAAUUUUGACUACAAAAGAAACAUUAAACACAAUUUAUAUAUUUGAACUUGCUUAUAAUAUGUUUAACAGAACUAAUUCACCCAUUUUGUUAUCAGAUCCACCUAAUAUGUAUUCUUUUCCUUUGUUCAAAAACACUAGCGAAAUUGGGAGUUCUGUAAUAGGAAAGGCAGGUCAAAUUAAGUGGCUGGUCAAAGGUUUAUGUGAAUCUCAGUAUUACAAUUUCAGUGUUCAUUCAAAAUUAUAACCUGUACCCAUCCUAUUAAUUGUGAAGAAGAAGAAGAAUGUAUAAUGAGUUCUCUGAUUACUUAUAUUAGUCAAUUUUCUGGUAGUUAUUGCAGAUGAGGAUGCUAAAAGUUACUUUUAUUUUUUCUUAUUCCUCGUCUCAUUGAAAUUGAAUUUUUGUGUUUCUCUUGCAGCAUGAAGUUUACCGGCCUAACAUUUAUUUCUUUGAAGAAAAUGAUGAUGAAAUGGACCUAAAAUAACACAGUUUAUUCUUUCUAGUUUGUUGUUAUUCUUUCAAUUUUCUUAUGUUAGUUAAUAAAUAUUGUACAUACUAUGGUCCUUGGGAGAUACAAUAUUAAAUUAAGUACUUAUCAUGACUCGAGCAUUAUCUAUUUAUACGUAGAGUAUUGAUUUUAUUAGCUUUUUAUGCAUUAAUUUAUCGAUUAGUUUGAAAC
RNAcentral lists this long non-coding RNA (5015 nucleotides) under Panax ginseng (ginseng). RNAcentral describes it as "long non-coding RNA (PGIN_LNC008012)". The record is from RNAcentral. Lineage: Eukaryota; Viridiplantae; Streptophyta; Magnoliopsida; Apiales; Araliaceae.